GUAGGUGGCAAGCGUUGUCCGGAAUUAUUGGGCGUAAAGCGCGCGCAGGCGGUCCUUUAAGUCUGAUGUGAAAGCCCACGGCUCAACCGUGGAGGGUCAUUGGAAACUGGGGGACUUGAGUACAGAAGAGGAAAGCGGAAUUCCAAGUGUAGCGGUGAAAUGCGUAGAGAUUUGGAGGAACACCAGUGGCGAAGGCGGCUUUCUGGUCUGUAACUGACGCUGAGGCGCGAAAGCGUGGGGAGCAAACAGGGAUUAGAUACCCUGGUAGUCCACGCCGUAAACGGUGAGUGCUAAGUGUUAGGGGUUUCCCGCCCCCUUAGUGCUGCAGCUAACGCAUUAAGCACUCCGCCUGGGGAGUACGGCCGCAAGGCUG
RNAcentral lists this ribosomal RNA (373 nucleotides) under uncultured organism. RNAcentral describes it as "partial 16S ribosomal RNA". It matches the Rfam family "Bacterial small subunit ribosomal RNA", at positions 527 to 896 of the family's 1533-position model. The record is from RNAcentral.